RNAcentral lists this ribosomal RNA (228 nucleotides) under uncultured bacterium. RNAcentral's name for it is "partial 16S ribosomal RNA". It matches the Rfam family "Bacterial small subunit ribosomal RNA", at positions 103 to 334 of the family's 1533-position model. The record is from RNAcentral.
CGGGUGAGUAAUGUAUGGGGAUCUGCCUGAUGGCGGGGGAUAACUACUGGAAACGGUAGCUAAUACCGCAUAAUGUCUACGGACCAAAGCGGGGGACCUCCGGGCCUCGCGCCAUCAGAUGAACCCAUAUGGGAUUAGCUAGUAGGUAAGGUAACGGCUCACCUAGGCGACGAUCCCUAGCUGGUCUGAGAGGAUGACCAGCCACACUGGGACUGAGACACGGUCCAG